UACGAAGGGGGCUAGCGUUGUUCGGAAUUACUGGGCGUAAAGCGCACGUAGGCGGAUAUUUAAGUCAGGGGUGAAAUCCCAGAGCUCAACUCUGGAACUGCCUUUGAUACUGGGUAUCUUGAGUAUGGAAGAGGUAAGUGGAAUUGCGAGUGUAGAGGUGAAAUUCGUAGAUAUUCGCAGGAACACCAGUGGCGAAGGCGGCUUACCUGGUCCAUAACUGACGCUGAGGUGCGAAAGCGUGGGGAGCAACAGGG
This 254-nucleotide ribosomal RNA is filed under the name uncultured bacterium. Its description in RNAcentral is "partial 16S ribosomal RNA". It matches the Rfam family "Bacterial small subunit ribosomal RNA", at positions 524 to 776 of the family's 1533-position model. The record is from RNAcentral.